AGGAAGAGAGAGAAAGGUUGUGUUACGCUGGAUGCGUACAUAAACAGAUAUCACAAUAGUCGUAUGAUAAUAGCAGUAUCGGGUGCAGCACUAACUGUCUCCUGUUACACUCUACAGAACCCCUUUAUGCAUCUCCAUGGUAACCUGAGAGGUAUAGGACAUCAUUGAACUACUGGAGCAGAGGUGGGAAAACACGAGUAUCUAAGACGGAUGUCUAGGGGAAAGGGACCACGGGGCCACGAGACAGCAUGCCCCCCUGACAGAACCAGAGCUGGACCUGUCCUGUUCAUCACCUCAAAGGGAAGGAUACAGGACCUGUGCCAUGUCGGCUUAGUAAGACUGGGUCUGACACAGGUUGAACCCCGUUCAGAACUACAGCCUGAAGCCCAGGUGUGUAACUCACCAGUCGCUCUGCACACCUGCCCUCGCAGCCAAAGACUGACUGAUUCUUCUGAACUCUGCAGUGGCACCGUCUAAUCCAUGAAUCUAAUUAAGUGUAAUCACAGACCACUCUCAUCACCACCACCUGUUCUGCUGCCAGGAGGCCAAGAAUGUGACCUUAUCUAGCUUUAGGUGAUCCAGCCGUGUGAUGCUCCAUUCGGAGCCAGCAGCACUCCCCUGCACUCCUGUGUCUCAGCAUGAUGACAUCACAUGCCCAAAGAGGAUUAGACCUAAAUCUGGACGGGACAGCCAUUGUCUCGAUAUGACUCAUCCAUGCCAGCUUCACAUAAUAAUAACCCAGACCAUGACAGAAACCAUGAAACUACAUCUGCAACAGUUCGUUUUCCCACUGGAGAUGUUGAUGCUGUAGCAGGCUCUACCAACCCAGCCAUCUGGCCCAACCUCACUUCUCAAGUAAGGUCCUUUGACCAUCUCUCUGGUCUGGUUAAUUUAAGAAAGUUGAGUUUAAUGUAGUGGGAGAGUAGAGCUGUGAUAUAAACACAUGCAUCUCCUCUCCCCUCCAGACCACACACCACUCUUGACUACAUAGCAUGACAAAAACACGGGGAUUAUGGGUUAGGUUUGGGGGAGGGGGGGUGCAGCCUCUUUGGUUAUACUAUAUGGCUUUACUGCCAGGCUGCUCUCUUGCGGGUCCCGCUACGACUCAACCAUCUGUCAGUACAUUGGACGAUCCUAUGGAUUUGGUUUGAAGUCCAGAAAUGCACACCAACACACACAAACAAACGCCAUGAACAGGUGGCUAAUUUUUUGGAAUCAUUAAAAAAUUCCGCGGGUUAAUUAAACAAAAAGGCUAUCUCAAUUCUGACUUGACAUGCCCAUAAUGUUGUUACAAGUGGUCAGCAUCCCAGUACGCGUCACACGGGAUCUUAAGAUGGCGCCAAGGAGUCGAGACCACUCUGAUCGCUGUUCAACAAAAGAGCAGUAAGCCUACGGAAUUACCUCAUAGAAUUGGACACCAUAUACAAAUCAUUUGCAUAACGGUGUAAUGUAAAGCUAGAUUGGUACUUUGUUUUAGUGUUGACUGUAGACACAUUAACACUAGCAAUUUGCCUAUUGCUGACUAACUAACGACACGUGCUAUUUGUAAACCAGACCUUAGGAAAGCACCUCAUGAGGUCAUUGGAAAACAACUUAAAAACGUCUGAAUACUACUGAAUAACAUAUUUGACUGAUUUCUGUAUUUUAACAAGAAAAUGAAUAAGGUAACGUUGACUAACGUGAAAAAGCGCCAUAAAUGCACAUAAUUUACGCUAAAGGCGUUAGCAGAUGUUGCAGAUGUGCCGAGCUGAGAGGAACACUACUGGACGCUCGUGCUAGAAGCGACAUCCUGUUUGCAGUCAUCUAAACCAGUAACUCCAUGACUGGAAAAAAGUGUUUCAUAAACUUUACGCAAACAUGUAAUACAUUCCAUGCGUUGCUUAUAAAUUAUGAUGCCAUCGAACAGCUAACCCAGUGCUAAAGAGAAGGGAUAUAUAUAGUGGCUAUAACCAGGUUGUGCCAUGCUAAGGAGUAGAUAGCGGAUCAUCAGAGAAAAGCUAACGUUGGCGUUUACACCGAGCCACAUUUAAGAGAUUUUUGCUUAUUUACGCUACCUUUAAAUGCACUGAUUUGUUUACAAGAUGAACCAGUUACGAGUCUAAUUAACGGUGUCUUGUGUGCAGCAAA
This is a long non-coding RNA of Hypomesus transpacificus, 2127 nucleotides long. RefSeq lists it as uncharacterized. The record is from RefSeq and is a predicted model, not a curated record. Lineage: Eukaryota; Metazoa; Chordata; Actinopteri; Osmeriformes; Osmeridae. The transcript is spliced from 3 exons.